RNAcentral lists this ribosomal RNA (261 nucleotides) under uncultured bacterium. RNAcentral's name for it is "partial 16S ribosomal RNA". It matches the Rfam family "Bacterial small subunit ribosomal RNA", at positions 332 to 610 of the family's 1533-position model. The record is from RNAcentral.
CGCAGCCUACGGGGGGCAGCAGUGGGGAAUAUUGCACAAUGGGGGAAACCCUGAUGCAGCGACGCCGCGUGAGUGAAGAAGUAUUUCGGUAUGUAAACCUCUAUCAGCAGGGAAGAAGAAAGACGGUACCUGACUAAGAAGCCCCGGCUAACUACGUGCCAGCAGCCGCGGUAAUACGUAGGGAGCGAGCGUUGUCCGGAUUUACUGGGUGUAACGGGUGCGUAGGCGGGGAAGCAAGUCAGAAGUGAAAUCCAUGGGCUU